GUGCAGGGACCCAGGGAGGCGCUCGAGGACCGACCGGUCACCGCUCCAAUUACCUCAUCGCGCAGCUCCCCGCCCCCUUCCCAAACCUGGAAGGAACCUUGCCCUCCACCCCGCUCCUCCCCUCCCCCACGGCCCGUCCCGAGCCACUCUUGGGGAAAGGUGCCCGCCUCCCCGGGCCGCGCGCCGCGAAGGGUUAAGGGCGCGGGCCAGCCGCCGCGCGGUGCGCUCAGGGCUCGGUGCUGCUCGCCGGGCCGCCCGCCAGAGGGUGCCCCCCACCCCCAUGAAGUCGGAUCCUUGAGCUGCGGCGGCGGCAGCCAACUGCUCCAUAUUUGGCUUCUAUUACACAUUUACAUACUGGAGCGAGCGAGCGAGCGAGCGAGCGCGAGAGAGCGCGAGGGAGGGAGGGCGGAGGGAGGAGGGAGGGGAGGGAAGCGGGAGGAGGGGGAGGAGGAGGAGGAGGAGGAGGAGGAGGAGGAGAGAGCAGAGUAUACCGCAGACAUCAUUUCUACUACAGUGGCGGAGCCGUACAGGACCUGUUUCACUGCAGGGGGAUCCAAAACAAGCCCCGGGGAGCAGCAGCCAGAGCAAGAGCAGCCGCCAGACAUUGUUUCUCUCCCUCUGCCCCCCUUCCCCACGCAACCCCAGAUCCAUUUACACUUUACAGAGCAUCGCGCAUCAAGUCACCAGGGUGAUCCAUUCAAGCUGCAGAUUUGUUUGUCAUCCUUGUACAACAGUCUCCUCCUCCACUGCCACCGCAGGGAAGUUCAGCACGUGUCAGGUCACAGAACAGAAAGUGCUGGUGGACAUCUCUUCUUGCCCCAAGAUCUUCGUUGGAAGUCCCCAGGACUUGGUGUCUUUGCCGUUCAAAGUGUUUAUGAACUCGCCAGGAGGCUUAAUGUGUCACCAUUUUAUUGUGGGCCACCCUAA
This 927-nucleotide long non-coding RNA is filed under the name Callithrix jacchus (white-tufted-ear marmoset). RNAcentral's name for it is "lncRNA (ENSCJAG00000084765.1)". Lineage: Eukaryota; Metazoa; Chordata; Mammalia; Primates; Cebidae. The record is from RNAcentral.